CUCUCCAGAUAUCUGAUUUGCAGGUGGUGCAGCUGCAGUGGUGGGUCCCAGGCAAAGGUAACUCACUGUUGGCCAGUGUCUCCCGUGCAGGAAAUGGGCAGAAGGCGAAGGAGCAGCUUCAGCUUUUCUCUGGUGGAGCAGGGAGGGCAGCAGGUAAAGGAUGCCAGGGCAGAACACCUGCUUCAGACCUGUGCACAGCAGCAGCCUUGGCCAAAUUCUAGGCCUAUUUAGAAAUAGUUCUGCCAUGUUACUUUUACCAGUGCAAGGCCAGGGGCGUCCCUUUUUAAGGAGAACUGCAAAGGGCCUCUUUGGAUUACAAACUGGCGUGACCAGGCUCUUAUAUCUUUGAAUAUUGAGGCCGGGAGGGAGGAAAAAAAGAGAAGGCCAAAUUCCUUUGUCACAUACCCUGCUCUAAGUCCAGAGUAAUUACAUUAAAUGUAAUGAGCCUCCACGCUUCCUUCCCCACUCCCACUUGGGAACAGUCAUUUGUUGCUGGCUAAUUCCUGCAGCAGCCAAUGUACUUACCUACUGCAUUGGCAGAAGCCUCCUGGCCAGAGAACCACAGAGAGCAACAAAAGCUGCUGCCUUGCCCUGCCUUCUCCUUCUCCUCUUCCUCUUUGCCCAGGGAGAAAAGAAACACUGCCCCUCUAUUAAGGCAUCUAAUUGGCAAACAUUAAUUUUAUCUGCACCCAAGCUCGCUGUGACUCUCAGUGGUGCUGCCAGACACUGAUUCACCACUCUGCACCAUUUUCCUCUCCAUCUACCUGAGGAAGGUUCUUCCACAAAGAAACACAAUUCAGUAGUCGCCUGCAGGCUGGUGAUGGCCAGUAGCACUCAGGUCUCCAGACCUGCAGGCUGAGAAAGUGGGGAAACCACGGAAAGAGAGGCUCUGUUUUGGCUAAAGGGAAGUGGUGAAGGGAAGAGGUGCAAAACCAGGGAGCAGAACAGUCUGACCUUCCCAAGGCCAGGAGUAUAUGAACAGUGCUUCAAGCAACAUUCAGUUUCCUAGACCCCAGGCAAAGACUUUCCUGCCAGUCCAGGUCAUCCCACUGCAGCCCACACAGCAAGAUGCUGGGCACCAGGAAAGCAUCCUGCCAGCCUGGCAAGUCUCCUCCAGGUGCAGACACAGGAGACCACAAGCAGCAGAUAGAGGUGAUUAAUCUUCCCACUUUGUGUGCCAUAGGUCUGAUCCCUGCUGGGCUGCUUGCCUGCAAUCCUCAUCACCUGGGGAUUUUAUGGAGCUGCACCUCUCAGAAAGGAGGUCUUUUCCAGGGAGCUGUGAAGCCAUAUAUAAUAACUGCACGUUGCUAUUAUUAACUUGAGCACCUGGAGGAGGUGACAGCAAAGGCCUUAUGGAGGUGAUGAGUAGCUGUAUUUACGCCUAUCAGUUUCACCAGAGGAAGUUUUGGGGCCUUGACAUAAGAGCAAAUCUGCCUUCAGCACCUGGGCCUCCUCUCUGCUUCUCUUCCCCAGGCAGGCAAAUAUUUUCAGGCAUGUAAAUUAACUCUUUUGUGCUCAAUCCCACUGUGCAUUUAAAGCAUCGGGAUUGGGAUGCAUCCAUGCUCAACACAAAGCAAGGGAGGGAAAGAGGUGACAUGCAAUUCCACCCUCCCCCCACAACAGCAGCAUUUGAGGAGAAAAUCCUCCAGAAAAAAAAAACCAACCCAUGCUCUGCUUUCUUCUGAUGGUGCAGGCUGGUUUGUGCUGUCUGUAAUUGUAAUCAAAGUUAAUUUAAUCCUGGUGUGGAGGUUGCUGAGCAACUGAAGACAUUUAUCCAGAGGAGACAGGGGCUGUAAUCACGUCACCUCAAGUAAAGGUGGUAGGGCAGCCACAUAACACUGCUAGUGCCCAGGGCAGAGAGCUGUGGGUCACAGGAAGACACUGGUGUUUGUGGUAGGUACAGAAGCCAAGGGAAAAGCACUAAGGUUAUGCCAAAAUUGUGCUUUCUUUCGUAAUACAGGUUGGAUCAGACCAGGAAUAAGGCCCCAUAUGGACACCUCACAUGAAGGCACAACCUCCCAGGGGAUGAACAGAGAGUGCCUGUCUGGCUCACAGACAUAACCAAAGAGCUUUCGUGGAAUUUAAAGGCCUGUGGGUGCACCGAGGGCAGGAGGAGGAGGUGGUGGCCUGCCGGGAAAAAGGACCAAAGCGUGGUGGGAUCCCAAGCACACCAAGUGCCUCCUUACCUCAGCUGCUUCCUCCCAUCAGACCCUUUUCCUUUGGAAAAACAGAUCCUGCGGAGCCACCAGGGUCCAUCUCCUGCUGCACUGGCCAGGCUGUCUCUGAAAUAGCAGUUGUAUGGGGCAAAAAAGGAAUUAUUUUGCUUUUCUAAAAGGCAUAUUGGGUUUCUAGCUGAGAGGAGGAGCAGCCUGAUGGCUUAGGUGAAGACUAUGGUUUUUCAAAGCAGAGCUGUCCUUGAGUAUAUUGAAAUGACCAAAAAUGUGGACGUAUGGCAGGGAAAAGACAACACACUGAGCAGUAGCAUUGCUGCGUGUCAGACCUUGUGAAACGGUGGCAGCACAGCACAGCAGGAGAAUGGAGCAGGUAAAGCCUAGUUUCAAGAUUUCCCAAAGACAGGCUUUUCGAAACCACAAAUGCCGUAGCAAUUUAUUUAACUUUUUGCUUUGUGCUGCCAAGUGUGCUACUUUUUCCAUAAUUUUGCUCUAUUUUGUAGAAUUCUUUAGGUUGGAAGAGGUGUUUAAGACCAUUGAGUCAAACUCUUAACCAGACAUUGCCAAGACCAUCACUAAAUCAUGUUCCUGAGUGCCACAUAUACAUGGUUUUUACACACCUCCAGGGAUGGUGACUCAGCUGCUUCCCUGGCAGCCUGUUCCAAGCCUUGACAACCCUUUGGGUGAAGAAAUUUUUCCUCACAUCCAGUGUAAACCUCCUGUGGUGCAACUUCAGGCCAUUUCUUUUUGUCCUAUCCCUUGUUACCUGAAAGAGGAGACCAACACCCACCUCACCACAACCUCCGUUUAGGUAGUUGUGUGUUGUGCCCAAAAUGGGCAAUAUUGAGUUGUUAGUUUUCAGUGCAUAACAGCCAUCUCUCCUCCCUCACCUCACUCCUUUCAGGGGGUACAGGCUGUAAGUGCAUGACGUACUGGGUGUUCACCUGCCUACCACCCACCCCAGCACCCUCCAAAAUGUGCCCAUUCCAUGUGGAUGUGGCUCUUCCUCACUGGGGGAGGUUGUGCUUCUGCUUGCCAGCCAGGGUAUUUGCCAGUCCCCACUGCUCAUUUGCUUUGCUUCAAGCACUUGGUGGUGACGGCAACACUCAGAGUUUGCCUGCCCUGGGGAGUGCCAGGGAAGCUUUGGGGUUCUGUGCCAAGCCAGCCAGGAGAAAUGCAGCAGCCACACUCUGCUGGGCUCAGGGCAUGCAGAGCUCCUCCGCAGGAAACCUCGGACAGGAGGGAAGGGUAAGGCGGUGCUGAGAUGUGGCUGUCAAAAAAAAAAAAAAGGAGGGUGAGCAAAACCACAAAUUAAAAACAAAAAUCCUGAGCAAUUUUCUUCUGGGGAAAUUAAGAUGCAGUUUUGAUUAAAUUCCACACCUCUUAGGUUGUCCAAGCUUUAGUUUCACGCCGCCAGUUUUGGUCAGUCCCGGUGCUGAUGGAUCCAAAUAUGAGACCUUUUGGAGCAGUUCCUUAAAGGAAAUGGAGAGAUGAAGAAAUACAAUGCAUUUAAUGAAACCCCACUAUGGAAGCAAAAAUAACCACCAAUGCACAACUCUGCACAAGACUAUUUUCCAUUUUCUCCAAGGACAAGCCCCUCUGAAGCCCCACCACCUUUCUGCAGUGGUUUUUGGCAGAUGGUAGUCCAGCAAGAGCCCCAUCCUAAUCCGUUCCUGGGGUUUUGAGGACUUGCACAGGCCCUGCCUAGGCCUCAUGGGUGAAGUUUUCCCAAGGGAACUGAGAAUACAAGACCUACAGGGAUUUCACCAGGCAGCACACAGUCUGUGUGGCACAUCCUAUAUCUCUUCAGCACUGUGUUGCUCAACAGGGAGAGAAGUGAACCAGUGAAAGCAUUCCCCUUCCCACAAAGAGAUUCAGAGCCUGUCCUCAGGCUUUCAAGUUUACAUUUUUUCCUAUGUUACAGGGUUGGGUUUUUUUGUUGGUUUUUUUUACUAUGGAGGAGAUAUUAAUUUCAUGCUUGGCUUGGCUCUUGAGCCAGGAGCAUUCUCCCUUCUGCAUCAUGACAUACACUUUUUUCUCCACAUCAGGAGCUGCUGAGCCAUUUCCCCUUCCUGGGGCCAUGGGGAUGGGCUGCAGACAGUAGGUUUUUAUGACUGCUGAGGGGUUGUUUAGCACCACAUGGAGACAGCCACCCACCUCCAAACCUGACCCCAUGUGCUGACUGGUGACAUCCCCGUGCUGGAGUCACCCCACUGCGUACAAUGUAGAGGAGAAAUGCAGCAUAUCUCAGCUUUGCUUUAAACCAUGUUUCCCAUGAUAGAAUCCAAAGUGUUAUUUGAUUGUGCUAGAACCUGUUUAUAUUAUUUUCUGGGUUCUUUUUCCUGAAUACUUGUCUCAAAAUCUUAAGCCUACAGAGCCUUGGAUGGUCCAUUUGCAAAAAUAAAUCUAUGUUGUACGCAUGCCAAGAAAAAUAUAAUGUUUAUUUCUUUCUUAAUUUUUCUAAGUGGUGUUUGUUCCUAACACCUUUAAAGCCCUCUGGUUUUCUGAAAUUUCUUUCUUUAAGUCAGUGAGUACAGAGAAAGCAAAUGCAGAAGCAGCAGUUUCAGUAGCUGGCGAGGCUACUGAAGAUUUAUGCUGACAUAUACGCUGUGCCUAUGGCUGAAUUAAUAGUGCCGCCGAAGCAUUUGUAUUUUCUGGGGGUUUUCACUCUGACAUUGGAAAUGGAAGCACAGCCACACCUGCACACAGAGAGUGUGGAUGGAAUGUAUAUGGAAUUCAUCUGCAAUUCUUACUUAUUCUCUAAAUGAGAUCAUUGUUGAGGUUACAGGGAAAUAUCACCUAACUCCCCUUUGUUCCUACCCUACAUAGGUGAGGAUUUGUCUUUUCUGUGGAACAGGUCUUCGGACCAGUUUUACACCAAAAUAUUUUCAUUGUCUUCAGUAAAGUUUAUCUUCACUCAUCUCAGUGUAAUUGAUGGCAGAAUCUAGCCCAGACUGAGGAAUUUCAUUUUUCUCCUAAAUAUUUUGUUGCUUGCUAUUUUAACAAAAGCUAAAGUAGAAAUAUUUUCUUCCACUGAAAAAUAUUGAAAAAUAAUUUUCUUCUUUCACUUCCAAAGUUCAGUGUAUUUCAGAGCCAGAAUUCAGCUUCCCACACAGCAGCGUGAACCACUUGGAGAUGUCAAGCAGUCUAUUCAUUGCUCAGAUUGUAUUUUGAUGCUGCUCAGAGUUCCCAGGUAAGAAAAUACAUUCAAUCAUUUAUAGCUCUGAACCAGAGCAAAAGACCAGUGCCUUAAAGGGAAAAGAAGGAAGGAAAGAAGAGAUGUAGGUUGUUAAGUGAAGGUGGAGAGCAAAACAGAUGAAAUUGAUAAAGUGGAAAGCUAUAUUAUUCACUCCAAGGCUCCAUUUAGUCCCUCUGGCCUGGUAGUUUCAGCAAAGUGAAACUCUUGCUGGAAUCAAUACUGCUAUCAUUUCACAAAAUUACAGUGGUUUGAACAGAAAACUAGUCAUAAAUCAACUUUGUGCAUGGACAGCUGGAGGAAAUAUUUCUUGCUUUGAAGAUUUGGGUGCUUCAGAACUAGUAAAGAGGAUCUUGGCUCUCUAAGAAUACAUAUUUACUGCAUUUCUUGGAAAUAGAAGCUGCUGUUGCAUAUUCAAACAAGUCAAAAUAGCAAUGUGAAAAAAGGCAGUGCCUCCAUUUUAAUCAGAUGAGGAAAGAGCGUGCUGGAUUUCAGUGAAACUCGGGUGUUUUGGAGAUAGUCCCAUUCUCUGGCACUCACUAGGAGUUCCUUCAAACUAGGCUAAGAAUGUGUCCUUGUUGCUUCUUUUUCAAAUGCCUAACCUAGAUCCCAUAGAUUUUGAGAGGCUUUUGAACCUCAUUACUUUCAGCUUAAUGAAGUUAAGUCAUUUUUAGUCAUUGCCACAGGAAGAUGUCCAGCCCUCAGCUUCCAGGGAAAGGGACUGGACUUGAAGACUGACUUUGUCUUCAAGGAACACAUUUUAGGAACUAUUUUAGAAACACAUCCUUGAAGAUCCUUCAAAGAAAAGCAUGACAAGCACAGCUGAUGCCCACUUCAGGAAGGUUUCACUACAUUCUUCUGUGUUUUCUUUAAUAAUUCUGAAAUUCAACAUUUUCUGUUGUUCUUGUUUUCCAAUAAAGUUAUGUCAGAUGGCAAGAAAUUAUCUGUGUGGGUGCUGGAAGCUUCAGAGAUAUAAUGCACAGCAGAAAAGAAGUAGGGAAGGAUAAUGUCUCCACAUCUACUUCCUUGCUCUGGACAGAAUAAACAUCAGCCACAGCUCCAUGAUCAUCGGCUGGCCAGUGCAUUAAGCAUGAGGGACUCUUAGACAUUCCUGUUACAGCUGGAAGCCCUUUCCUCUUUUCCUGUGAGGCAGAAACGAGUGGCAUUGGAGCCAAGGCAGAGCUAGGAAGGCUGCUGGAAUGAGGCAGCCCUGCUUGUGAAACCACCCCAAAGCCUGAAAACGUCCCAGGUUUCUAAACUACAGCUUCUAUCAGAGCUUGGUCCUGAAGUGUCAGACCUUUGGAUGUGGUGGCCUUUGCUCAGCCCUGCUUGCAGUGAAAAGGCCAGUCCACUGUGUCCUGACUGGGUGCUGCCAAAUUGAAAAGUGUGAAGAUAGAGCAUUUGCUAAUUUGGGAUUGCAUCUGGGGUAAAUCUCUGCUUGUUUUCCCUCUAAGGUGCCUGUGAAACACACAUUUGUGCAAUAUCUAAGCACCGUACAGCUGUAAUUAUUUCUAAUGGUUUCCCCUGUCUCUUGCAUUUAGUGCACUGGAAUUUUCU
This is a non-coding RNA of Cyanistes caeruleus (blue tit), 6924 nucleotides long. NCBI's taxonomy places the organism in Eukaryota, Metazoa, Chordata, Aves, Passeriformes, Paridae. The record is from RefSeq and is a predicted model, not a curated record.